RNAcentral lists this ribosomal RNA (445 nucleotides) under uncultured bacterium. RNAcentral's name for it is "bacterial SSU rRNA". It matches the Rfam family "Bacterial small subunit ribosomal RNA", at positions 329 to 792 of the family's 1533-position model. The record is from RNAcentral.
UCCCAGACUCCUACGGGAGGCAGCAGUGAGGAAUAUUGGGCAAUGGGGGCAACCCUGACCCAGCCAUGCCGCGUGAGUGAAGAAGGUCUUCGGAUUGUAAAGCUCUUUCGGACGUGACGAUGAUGACGGUAGCGUCUAAAGAAGCACCGGCAAACUUCGUGCCAGCAGCCGCGGUAAUACGAAGGGUGCGAGCGUUAUCCGGAUUUAUUGGGUUUAAAGGGUGCGUAGGCGGGACCUUAAGUCAGCGGUAAAAUUGCGGUGCUCAACGCCGUAGAGCCGUUGAAACUGGGGUUCUUGAGUGAGCGAGAAGUAUGCGGAAUGCGUGGUGUAGCGGUGAAAUGCAUAGAUAUCACGCAGAACCCCGAUUGCGAAGGCAGCAUACCGGCGCUCAACUGACGCUGAGGCACGAAAGUGCGGGUAUCGAACAGGAUUAGAUACCCCUGUA